Ornithorhynchus anatinus (platypus) is the source of this 918-nucleotide non-coding RNA. The record is from the annotation of a RefSeq genome assembly. Lineage: Eukaryota; Metazoa; Chordata; Mammalia; Monotremata; Ornithorhynchidae.
GGACUUAACAAAUACCACAAUCAUUUUUAUCAUUGUAAUUAUUAUUACAGUUCUCUUAGGAAUAGUGAAGUGAACAUAAAAAAACACCUUGAGAGGGAUCAGAAUCAUGGGUAGAAGGCCUCUGGACUCACCCUCCACUGCCAUUCCCCCAGGGCGGUGCCAAAAAGCAGGGUCAGUGACAUCACAACACAACACAGACCAAGCCAACACAAACCACUGAUAAUCUAAGCUUCAGCGCCUCGACCUGGGAGACGGUCCAAUCCGGUCCCAACCCUGCCAUGGGCCCCGGGCCAGUGUGGUUGGUGGCCUUUUUUGUCCUGGGAGCAAGCCCAGCGGACGCCGGAGUCACCCAGACCCCCAGAUACCUGCUGGUCCGGACGGGGACGAAGGUGAUCCUGAGAUGUGCACAGAACAUGGCCCACGACGCCAUGUACUGGUAUCGGCAGGACCCGGGGCAGGGGCUGCGGCUGAUCCGUUUCUCCAGUGUCAAAGGCUCUACUGAGGAAGGAGACAUCCCACAGGGAUAUUUGGUCUCUCGAGAAGAGAAGGAGUUCUUCCCCCUGACCCUGGGUUCUGCGAACACGAACCAGUCGUCGCUGUAUUUCUGCGCGAGCAGUGUAACCACAGCGCUGCAGUGUCCCCUCCGACCCGUGCACGAACCUCCCCCGUCCGGGGGCAGGAAGCAGGAGGCCCGGAGGGGGCUGAAGGGCCACAGACCUGGCUCAGACUCUGACUUUCUGGACAAAGGCAGGACAACCUGGUCCCUGGAACCAGCUGGAGGACAGUGCCGGGCAAAGACACAAUCGAACCUGACUUACUGCAGUAGCAACUACAAAUAAUGAUAUCAAUCAUGAUGAUAAUGAUGAGGACAGCCACGAAAGAGAAGCAGCGUUGCUCAGUGGAAAGAGCACGGGCUUG